ACUGUGGGAAGAGAAAGAGGUCACUACUACUGUGGGAAGAGAAAGAGGUCACUACUACUGUGGGAAGAGAAAGAGGUCACUACUACUGUGGGAAGAGAAAAGAGGUCACUACUACUGUGGGAAGAGAAAGAGGUCACUACUACUGUGGGAAGAGAAAGAGGUCACUACUACUGUGGGAAGAGAAAAGAGGUCACUACUACUGUGGGAAGAGAAAGAGGUCACUACUACUGUGGGAAGAGAAAAGAGGUCACUACUACUGUGGGAAGAGAAA
Non-coding RNA from Oncorhynchus mykiss (rainbow trout), 271 nucleotides. Lineage: Eukaryota; Metazoa; Chordata; Actinopteri; Salmoniformes; Salmonidae. The record is from RefSeq and is a predicted model, not a curated record.